RNAcentral lists this ribosomal RNA (2656 nucleotides) under Trachelomonas scabra. The record is from RNAcentral. Lineage: Eukaryota; Euglenozoa; Euglenophyceae; Euglenales; Euglenaceae.
GGGAAACAGCCCAGACUACCAGUUAAGGCCCCUAAAUAAUUACUAAGUGGUAAAGGAUGUAUUAGUACAUAGACAACUAGGAGGUUGGCUUAGAAGCAGCCAUUCCUUUAAAAAGUGCGUAAUAGCUUACUAGUCAAGUGCUUUUGCGCCAAAAAUGAAUGGGACUAAGUAAUUUGCCGAAACUGUAGGAUUAAUAUUAAUCGGUAGAAGAGCGUUCUGUUUUAGGUUGAAGCAAUAUUGAAAAGUUUUGUGGACUAUUCAGAAGUGAGAAUGUCGGCUUAAGUAACGAAAACAUUGGUGGAAAUCCAAUGCCCCGAAAACCUAAGGUUUCCUUCGCAAGGUUCGUCCACGAAGGGUUAGUCAGAAUCUAAGGUGAUGUUUAAUAACGUAGCCGAUGGUUAACAGUUUAAUAUUACUGUACUAUAUAUUGUUCUUUUAAGAGUGACGGAGGAAACUAUAUCAUCCAAAGAUUGGUUGUUUUGGUUUAAUUAUUUAAGGCGUUGAGAAAUGUGAAAAAAUAUAUUUUGAGCUUAGAAUAAGAAUACGAUUGACGCUACGGUGUUAAGAGUGAUUUAUGUUAUACUUCCAAGAAAAGCUUUUAUAAUUUUAGCUGUAUAUAACUGUACUAAAUCCGACACAGGUAGGUUAGUAGAGAAUACUAAGGGGAUCGAGAUAACUCUUUUCUAAGGAACUCGGCAAAAUGGCUCUGUAACUUCGGGAGAAAGAGUGCCUUAUUUUAUUUAAGGUUGCAACGACCAGGUCCAUACGACUGUUUAACAAAAACACAAGUCUCCGCUAAGUCAUAAAGACGAUGUAUGGGGGCUGACGCCUGCCCAGUGCCGGAAGGUUAAAGAAAUUGGUUAGCUUAGGCGAAGCUAGUAACUGAAGCCUCGGUGAACGGCGGUAGUAACUAUAACUAUCCAAAGGUAGCGAAAUUCCUUGUCAGGUAAGUUCUGACCCGCACGAAAGGCGUAACGAUAUGGACACUGUCUCAGAAAGAGACUCGGUGAAAUAAAAUUAACUGUGAAGAUGCGGUUUGCUUGCACUUGGACAGAAAGACCCUAUGAAGCUUAAAUGUAGCUUGAAAUUGAUUCCGGAUUUCCUUUGCGCAGAAUAGGUGGGAGACUAAGAUCUAGUCUUUCGGGAUAUAGUGAGUCAUAAUAUGAGAUACCACUCUUAGGAAUUUUGGAAUCUAAUGGUAUUUUUUCAUUAUACUUGACAUUUUCAGGUGGUCAUUUUUACUGGGGCGGUAGCCUCCUAAAAGGUAACGGAGGCGUACAAAGGUUUUUUCAGACUAAAUGGAAAUUAGUUGGUGAGUAUAAAGGCAUAAAAAAGCUUGACUGUAAGACCUAUAAGUCGAGCAGAGACGAAAGUCGGUCUUAGUGAUCCGACGGUGCUGAGUGGAAAGGCCGUCGCUAAACAGAUAAAAGUUACGUGCGACAUGAUAUUUCCUAAUUAUUUUAAGAAUAAAAUAAAGAAAUAGGUUGAUAAAUCUAAAAUUAAAAUAUAUAAUUUUAUCACUAAGCUAUUUAUUGUAGUCAAUGCAAGAUUGACACGCUAAUACUGGCGCUAGACAAUAUUCCUAUAAUUAUAAUGUGACCAAGUUGUAAUAGAAGUAAGCGGGAUAUAAAAAGUUAAGUAAACUAAAACUAACGGUUUACAAAUGAGUCAACGUUUUAUGAGUUAACAAAAACUUCGGUUAAAGGAAAGUUGUGUAUAAAGCCACCAUAAUAUCAAAAGGGUUAUAGAAUGUUUCUGUCUAAUCGUUUAGUGCAGUAGCCCUAUGACGGCAUGUCCGUUUCCCGUUCAAAUAGUUAAUUUAUCGGUAGCUUAGAAGGUAACAUCUAAGUAAGUAUAACCGCGGGGGUGCGCAAAGCAACUAACUCAUAUACCCGGUUUUAAAUAACUGAGUAACAAUAAAUGGAACAUGGUCACCAAGGUUACUUCCAAUAAAAUGGUGAAUGGCUAAAUGAGGUAAAUCUUGGGCAGGAUGAGGCACCAAGCGAAUGGUCUUAUGUAAUAUAAGACAUAUGCUAAAUUGUCUCACAUUAAGAGGAAAUCUUAGGGCGAAAUAUUAUAUUCCACAAAUAUAUUAUAACAAUACUACUUAGUUAUAUGCAAUUACAAACGUACUUGAACAUAAUAAAGAAAGUAUAUGAAAAUAUGAUUUGUUAAAUAUUUUAAGACAUUAAUCUUAUUACUAAGAACAAACUAUAUCUUCUCAGUUAGAGAAAAAGUUCACCUUUUAAUGAGUAGCUGUAUGACAGGCGACUGUCAUGUACAGUUUCGAAGGAGAAGCAAUGAAGAGUAACGUCAAUUCGUUGUUGAAGCCCAUUGCUCACUCUCUAACUCUAGGGAUAACAGGCUGAUCUCCCCCAAGAGUUCAUAUCGACGGGGAGGUUUGGCACCUCGAUGUCGGCUCAUCGCAACCUGGAGCGGUAGUACGUUCCAAGGGUUGGGUUGUUCACCCAUUAAAGCGGUACGUGAGCUGGGUUCAGAACGUCGAGAGACAGUUCGGUCCAUAUCCGGUGUGAGUGUUAGAGUAUUGAAAAUAUCUUCUCUUAGUACGAGAGGACCAGAGAGGACAUACCUAUGGUGUACCAGUUUUUGUGCCAACAGAAUACGCUGGGUAGCUACGUAUGUUGUGGAUAACUGC